This 21-nucleotide non-coding RNA is filed under the name Arabidopsis thaliana (thale cress). The record is from RNAcentral. Lineage: Eukaryota; Viridiplantae; Streptophyta; Magnoliopsida; Brassicales; Brassicaceae.
UCUCCAGAUUCAGGGACCAAA